AUGAUACUCCUUCUGUCGAGAAUUACUUGUCGCAAAAAUGGAUAAAAAUGAUUGUAUCUAGAACUAAAAUACAUCUAGAUACAUCCAUUCCUCACACAAGUAUUUUCGGACGGAGGGAGUAUAUG
Non-coding RNA from Hordeum vulgare subsp. vulgare (domesticated barley), 125 nucleotides. NCBI's taxonomy places the organism in Eukaryota, Viridiplantae, Streptophyta, Magnoliopsida, Poales, Poaceae. The record is from Rfam.